This 349-nucleotide unclassified non-coding RNA is filed under the name soil metagenome. RNAcentral's name for it is "partial contains 5.8S ribosomal RNA, internal transcribed spacer 2, and large subunit ribosomal RNA". The stretch from base 1 to 120 matches the Rfam family "5.8S ribosomal RNA", at positions 35 to 154 of the family's 154-position model. The record is from RNAcentral.
GAUGAAGAACGCAGCGAAAUGCGAUAAGUAAUGUGAAUUGCAGAAUUCAGUGAAUCAUCGAAUCUUUGAACGCACAUUGCGCCCGCUAGUAUUCUGGCGGGCAUGCCUGUUCGAGCGUCCUUUGGACCCUCGGGCCCUGCGGUAACAUCCGCCGGGGCCCGGUGUUGGAGACCCGCGGCUGCCGCGGCCUCCCAAAAACAGUGGCGGACCCGUUUGCGGCCCUGGCUUAGUAGUAAAAUCUAGCCUUCGGUUGUUCACGGAGCCUUGCCUCCAGCGCCAACUCUCAAAGUUGGACCUCGAAUCAGGUAGGAAUACCCGCUGAACUUAAGCAUAUCAAUAAGCGGAGGGA